RNAcentral lists this long non-coding RNA (513 nucleotides) under Homo sapiens (human). Its description in RNAcentral is "HSALNT0064007". Lineage: Eukaryota; Metazoa; Chordata; Mammalia; Primates; Hominidae. The record is from RNAcentral.
CACACCUGUAAUCCCAGCUACUCGGGAAGCUGAGGCAGGAGAAUCGCUUGAACCUGGGAGGCAGAGGUUGCAGUGAGCCAGGAUCAUGCCACUGCACUCCAGCCUGGGUGGCAAGAGCAAAACUCUGUCUCCAAAUAAUAAUAAUAAUAAGAGACCCGUGUACAGUAUCAUCUCAGUUGGAGUUAGAAGAAGCCUUUAGACUUUAUGAGCUAAACAAGGAUUCUGAACUCUUGAUUCAUGUGUUCCCUUGUGUACCAGAACGUCCUGGGAUGCCUUGUCCAGGAGAAGAUAAAUCCAUCUACCGUAGAGGUGCACGCCGCUGGAGAAAGCUUUAUUGUGCCAAUGGCCACACUUUCCAAGCCAAGCGUUUCAACAGGCGUGCUCACUGUGCCAUCUGCACAGACCGAAUAUGGGGACUUGGACGCCAAGGAUAUAAGUGCAUCAACUGCAAACUCUUGGUUCAUAAGAAGUGCCAUAAACUCGUCACAAUUGAAUGUGGGCGGCAUUCUUUGC